This 496-nucleotide ribosomal RNA is filed under the name uncultured bacterium. Its description in RNAcentral is "partial 16S ribosomal RNA". It matches the Rfam family "Bacterial small subunit ribosomal RNA", at positions 29 to 507 of the family's 1533-position model. The record is from RNAcentral.
AUGAACGCUGGCGGCGUGCCUAAUACAUGCACGUCGCGCGCACAGACGAGGAGCUUGCUCCUCUGACGUUAGCGGCGGACGGGUGAGUAACACGUGGAUAACCUACCUAUAAGACUGGGAUAACUUCGGGAAACCGGAGCUAAUACCGGAUAAUAUAUUGAUCCGCAUGGUUCAAUAGUGAAAGACGGUUUUGCUGUCACUUAUAGAUGGAUCCGCGCCGCAUUAGCUAGUUGGUAAGGUAACGGCUUACCAAGGCAACGAUGCGUAGCCGACCUGAGAGGGUGAUCGGCCACACUGGAACUGAGACACGGUCCAGACUCCUACGGGAGGCAGCAGUAGGGAAUCUUCCGCAAUGGGCGAAAGCCUGACGGAGCAACGCCGCGUGAGUGAUGAAGGUCUUCGGAUCGUAAAACUCUGUUAUUAGGGAAGAACAAAUGUGUAAGUAACUAUGCACGUCUUGACGGUACCUAAUCAGAAAGCCACGGCUAACUACGUG